UGUAGAUAUGCCAAAGAUAAAUGUAGAACCAC
RNAcentral lists this non-coding RNA (32 nucleotides) under Mus musculus (house mouse). Lineage: Eukaryota; Metazoa; Chordata; Mammalia; Rodentia; Muridae. The record is from RNAcentral.